This 254-nucleotide ribosomal RNA is filed under the name uncultured bacterium. RNAcentral's name for it is "partial 16S ribosomal RNA". It matches the Rfam family "Bacterial small subunit ribosomal RNA", at positions 524 to 776 of the family's 1533-position model. The record is from RNAcentral.
UACGUAGGGAGCGAGCGUUGUCCGGAUUUAUUGGGCGUAAAGAGCGCGUAGGCGGCUUGGUAAGCCGGAUGUGAAACCCCCGAGCUCAACUCGGGGCGGCCAUUCGGAACUGCCAUGGCUAGAGUCUGGUAGGGGAACACGGAAUACCUGGUGUGGCGGUGAAAUGCUUAGAUAUCAGGUGGAACACCAGUGGCGAAGGCGGUGUUCUGGGCCAGUACUGACGCUGAGGCGCGAAAGCGUGGGGAGCGAACAGG